Molecule: ribosomal RNA, 497 nt
Filed under: uncultured bacterium
Lineage: Bacteria
Description: partial 16S ribosomal RNA
Rfam family: Bacterial small subunit ribosomal RNA
Source: RNAcentral
GAUGAACGCUGGCGGCGUGCCUAAUACAUGCAAGUCGAGCGAACAGACGAGGAGCUUGCUCCUCUGACGUUAGCGGCGGACGGGUGAGUAACACGUGGAUCACCUACCUAUAAGACUGGGAUAACUUCGGGAAACCGGAGCUAAUACCGGAUAAUAUAUUGAACCGCAUGGUUCAAUAGUGAAAGACGGUUUUGCUGUCACUUAUAGAUGGAUCCGCGCCGCAUUAGCUAGUUGGUAGGCUAACGGCUUACCAAGGCAACGAUGCGUAGCCGACCUGAGAGGAUGAUCCGCCACACUGGGACUGAGACACGGUCCAGACUCCUACGGGAGACAGCAGUGGGGAAUUUUGGACAAUGGGCGAAAGCCUGAUCCAGCAAUGCCGCGUGAAGGAUGAAGGCCUUCGGGUUGUAAACUUCUGUUGUACGGAACGAAAAGCCGCUUUCUAAUAAAGAGGGGUCAUGACGGUACCGUAAGAAUAAGCACCGGCUAACUACGUG